AGUGAACGCUGGCGGUAGGCCUAACACAUGCAAGUCGAACGGCAGCACAGUAAGAGCUUGCUCUUACGGGUGGCGAGUGGCGGACGGGUGAGGAAUACAUCGGAAUCUACUUUUUCGUGGGGGAUAACGUAGGGAAACUUACGCUAAUACCGCAUACGACCUACGGGUGAAAGCAGGGGAUCUUCGGCCCUUGCGCGAUUGAAUGAGCCGAUGUCGGAUUAGCUAGUUGGCGGGGUAAAGGCCCACCAAGGCGACGAUCCGUAGCUGGUCUGAGAGGAUGAUCAGCCACACUGGAACUGAGACACGGUCCAGACUCCUACGGGAGGCAGCAGUGGGGAAUAUUGGACAAUGGGCGAAAGCCUGAUCCAGCCAUACCGCGUGGGUGAAGAAGGCCUUCGGGUUGUAAAGCCCUUUUGUUGGGAAAGAAAAGCAGUAGGUUAAUACCCCGCUGUUCUGACGGUACCCAAAGAAUAAGCACCGGCUAACUUCGUG
This 492-nucleotide ribosomal RNA is filed under the name uncultured bacterium. RNAcentral describes it as "partial 16S ribosomal RNA". It matches the Rfam family "Bacterial small subunit ribosomal RNA", at positions 29 to 507 of the family's 1533-position model. The record is from RNAcentral.